Molecule: long non-coding RNA, 309 nt
Filed under: Ovis aries (sheep)
Lineage: Eukaryota; Metazoa; Chordata; Mammalia; Artiodactyla; Bovidae
Description: lncRNA (ENSOARG00000025974.1)
Source: RNAcentral
AUGAAGGCCCUCCUUCCCCGGAUUGAGUUCUCCAAUGAGGGGUUGCCUUUCACCUUAGUUUGUUAUUCUCUCAAGGUAAAUGGCUGGGGCUGCAGACCUGGCGAUGGUGGCGAUGAAGCUGUGGUCGUGCCCAAGCUCCAGACAGGGAGAUUCGUCCUGUUCUGGAGACACUGCUUCGUAGCCCUUGUUGACAUGGAGUGGCUGGUGAGCCUGGCAGUACCUGAUCACCGGCUGGUCGUAGCUGUAAUAUGGUGGUGUCUGCCUGUGUGCUCAGUCAUGUCCUACUGUUCGUGGCCCUAUGGACCGUAG